CUUGUCUAGUGCUGUGAAGAGACAUGAGAGGUGUAGAAUAAGUGGGAGGCCAGGAGCGCGUGUGGCGCAGCAGGGUGACCCGCCUGCCAGUGUCCCAGCCGCUGGUGAAAUAACACUACUCUGAUAAUUUCUUCACAUAGCUGGUGAGGUGUGGGGUGAGCCCCUAGGGGGGCUCUGGCCUCUGGUGCCAAGCACCCAGCCAAUUUUUUUAAAGGUUGGACAUCUGGGUCAGGGCAAUCCCCAUUUUCAGUACACGAUGAGG
Molecule: non-coding RNA, 262 nt
Filed under: Cuculus canorus (common cuckoo)
Lineage: Eukaryota; Metazoa; Chordata; Aves; Cuculiformes; Cuculidae
Description: Eukaryotic large subunit ribosomal RNA
Rfam family: Eukaryotic large subunit ribosomal RNA
Source: Rfam by way of RNAcentral